Molecule: ribosomal RNA, 553 nt
Filed under: uncultured archaeon
Lineage: Archaea
Description: bacterial SSU rRNA
Rfam family: Archaeal small subunit ribosomal RNA
Source: RNAcentral
CGGGGUGCAGCAGGCGCGAAAACUUUACAAUGCCGGCAACGGCGAUAAGGGAACCUCGAGUGCCAGGUUACAAAUCUGGCUGUCGUGAUGCCUAAAAAGCAUUGCAUAGCAAGGGCCGGGCAAGACCGGUGCCAGCCGCCGCGGUAACACCGGCGGCUCGAGUGGUAACCGUUAUUAUUGGGUCUAAAGGGUCCGUAGCCGGCCGGGUAAGUCUCUUGGGAAAUCUGGCAGCUUAACUGUCAGGCUUUCAGGAGAUACUGCCUGGCUCGAGGCCGGGAGAGGUGAGAGGUACUUCAGGGGUAGGGGUGAAAUCUUGUAAUCCUUGAAGGACCACCAGUGGCGAAGGCGUCUCACCAGAACGGACCUGACGGCAAGGGACGAAAGCUAGGGGCACGAACCGGAUUAGAUACCCGGGUAGUCCUAGCCGUAAACGAUACUCGCUAGGUGUCGGCCACGGUGCGACCGUGGUCGGUGCCGUAGGGAAGCCGUGAAGCGAGCCACCUGGGAAGUACGGCCGCAAGGCUGAAACUUAAAGGAAUUGGCGGGGGAGCAC